RNAcentral lists this ribosomal RNA (465 nucleotides) under Vreelandella stevensii. RNAcentral's name for it is "partial 16S ribosomal RNA". It matches the Rfam family "Bacterial small subunit ribosomal RNA", at positions 338 to 795 of the family's 1533-position model. The record is from RNAcentral. Lineage: Bacteria; Pseudomonadati; Pseudomonadota; Gammaproteobacteria; Oceanospirillales; Halomonadaceae.
CCUACGGGUGGCUGCAGUGGGGAAUAUUGGACAAUGGGCGAAAGCCUGAUCCAGCCAUGCCGCGUGUGUGAAGAAGGCCUUCGGGUUGUAAAGCACUUUCAGUGGGGAAGAAAGCCUUGGGGCUAAUACCCUCGAGGAAGGACAUCACCCACAGAAGAAGCACCGGCUAACUCCGUGCCAGCAGCCGCGGUAAUACGGAGGGUGCGAGCGUUAAUCGGAAUUACGGGGCGUAAAGCGCGCGUAGGCGGUCUGAUAAGCCGGUUGUGAAAGCCCCGGGCUCAACCUGGGAACGGCAUCCGGAACUGUCAGGCUAGAGUGCAGGAGAGGAAGGUAGUAUUCCCGGUGUAGCGGUGAAAUGCGUAGAGAUCGGGAGGAAUACCAGUGGCGAAGGCGGCCUUCUGGACUGACACUGACGCUGAGGUGCGAAAGUGUGGGUAGCAAACAGGAUUAGAUACCCCUGUAGUC